AAGGACAACAACCACCCGAGCCACUGCCUGUUCACCCCGCUAUCAUCCAGAAGGCGAGGCAACGCCGUCCUGGAGCUGCGGCUCCUCCUCCACGCCCUCACCAAAGCAGCGUGCCACCUGUACCUAGCCGUGCUCCCACUGCGCCGCGCCACACUGCACCUUGCCCGCUUUGUCUGUUACCUGGUAAACCAUGGCCCCGCCUCCGCUGGCCGGGCGUCUCCUCUUUUCCUCGAGGGGGUGUGUGUGAUAUGUGAAGCGGUACCGGACCUGCUGGGAGCCGGGCUCAGUCUGUGUGCAGUAGUAUGUCACAUCCUACAGGGGGCACUGUUCCUGCUGGCCGCCACGGUGAGGUCGGUCCAGGUGAGUGUUCUGGCCCAGGUGGACGGGGAGAAGGAGAGAUGGGAGAAGGAGCAGCAUCAGGCGCGGCAGGACGAGAGGAGACAGAACUCCAGGGUGGUGGAAUACCUUUCUGUGUUCUGUCAAGACCCCAUCAGUUCACUACGACUCAAAGUGGACAUGAUCAAUAGAUAACGGCACCGUCUGUCUGUCUGUCUGUCUGUCUGUCUGUCUGUCUGUCUGUCUGUCUGUCUGUCU
RNAcentral lists this long non-coding RNA (594 nucleotides) under Salmo salar (Atlantic salmon). Its description in RNAcentral is "lncRNA (ENSSSAG00000092314.1, ENSSSAG00020021208.1)". The record is from RNAcentral. Lineage: Eukaryota; Metazoa; Chordata; Actinopteri; Salmoniformes; Salmonidae.